RNAcentral lists this non-coding RNA (21 nucleotides) under Caenorhabditis elegans. The record is from RNAcentral. Lineage: Eukaryota; Metazoa; Nematoda; Chromadorea; Rhabditida; Rhabditidae.
UGGAAGGACCAAACUCCAAAC